Nycticebus coucang (slow loris) is the source of this 107-nucleotide small nuclear RNA. The record is from RefSeq and is a predicted model, not a curated record. Lineage: Eukaryota; Metazoa; Chordata; Mammalia; Primates; Lorisidae.
GUGCUUGCUUUGGCAGCACAAAUACUGAAAUUGGAACGAUACAGGGAAGAUUAGCAAGGCCCCUGAGCAAGGAUGACACGCAAAGUCGUGAAGUGCUCCAUAUUUUU